RNAcentral lists this ribosomal RNA (445 nucleotides) under uncultured bacterium. Its description in RNAcentral is "partial 16S ribosomal RNA". It matches the Rfam family "Bacterial small subunit ribosomal RNA", at positions 354 to 796 of the family's 1533-position model. The record is from RNAcentral.
GUGAGGAAUAUUGGACAAUGGGCGCAAGCCUGAUCCAGCCAUGCCGCGUGCAGGAAGACGCAUCUAUGGUGUGUAAACUGCUUUUGCACGGGAAGAAACACUCCCUCGUGAGGGAGCUUGACGGUACCGUAAGAAUAAGGAUCGGCUAACUCCGUGCCAGCAGCCGCGGUAAUACGGAGGAUCCAAGCGUUAUCCGGAAUCAUUGGGUUUAAAGGGUCCGUAGGCGGUUUAAUAAGUCAGUGGUGAAAGCCCAUCGCUCAACGAUGGAACGGCCAUUGAUACUGUUAGACUUGAAUUACAAGGAAGUAACUAGAAUAUGUAGUGUAGCGGUGAAAUGCUUAGAUAUUACAUGGAAUACCAAUUGCGAAGGCAGGUUACUACUUGUGGAUUGACGCUGAUGGACGAAAGCGUGGGGAGCGAACAGGAUUAGAUACCCCUGUAGUCC